AUGAAAAUACUAAGUUGGAACUGCCGUGGGAUAGGCGAUCCCGCGACAGUUCGAGAACUCCGUGAUCUCCUUGAGAUCAGCUCACCAUCUAUCCUUUGUUUAGUAGAAACUCAGCUACAAAAGGCUCGUGUCGAGGGUCUUUGUUCUUCCUUAGGUUUUGAUUUCAGUUUUGGUGUUGGUAGCACUGGUCGCAGCGGCGGCAUUUGUAUCUUUUGGAAAACCUAUAUUGAUGUUGCAAUAAAGAACUAUUCAGAGUAUCAUGUGGACACCUGGGUUACUGAACCAGGCAGGGAACAAUGGAGGUUGACGUGUUUUUAUGGAGAAGCAACAAGAAGCUUGCGGUAUAAAACAUGGAACACAAUGACGAGACUAAGGGGGGAGAGUACCCUCCCAUGGUUGUGCAUAGGUGAUUUCAAUGAAAUCUUGAGAGCUGAUGAACAACAUGGCCCUAAUGAACAGGAUAGUAGCCAGAUCAAAGCUUUCAGAGGAGCGGUGGAUGUGUGUGGUCUUGCUGAUCUUGGUUACAGGGGCCUAGAUUGGACGUGGGAGAAAAGGUGGCUGGUGGUCAUUAUUGCAGAGUUCGUCUGGAUCGAGCUUUAG
RNAcentral lists this ribosomal RNA (600 nucleotides) under Triticum aestivum (bread wheat). RNAcentral's name for it is "partial small subunit ribosomal RNA". Lineage: Eukaryota; Viridiplantae; Streptophyta; Magnoliopsida; Poales; Poaceae. The record is from RNAcentral.